RNAcentral lists this ribosomal RNA (459 nucleotides) under uncultured bacterium. Its description in RNAcentral is "partial 16S ribosomal RNA". It matches the Rfam family "Bacterial small subunit ribosomal RNA", at positions 338 to 795 of the family's 1533-position model. The record is from RNAcentral.
CCUACGGGAGGCAGCAGUGAGGAAUAUUGGUCAAUGGCCGGAAGGCUGAACCAGCCAAGCCGCGUGAAGGACGAAGGUGCCAAGCAUUGUAAACUUCUUUUGUCAAGGGACAAAAUCAGGCUCGAGAGCCUGACCGAGGGUACUUGAAGAAAAAGCAUCGGCUAACUCCGUGCCAGCAGCCGCGGUAAUACGGAGGAUGCGAGCGUUAUCCGGAUUUAUUGGGUUUAAAGGGUGCGUAGGCGGGCUGUUAAGUCAGUGGUAAAAGCCCGGGGCUCAACCCCGGCUAGCCGUUGAAACUGGCUGUCGUGAGAUGUCGAGAGUUAGGCGGAAUGCGCAGUGUAGCGGUGAAAUGCUUAGAUAUUGCGCAGAACUCCGAUUGCGAAGGCAGCAUACCGGCGGCGAUCUGACGCUGAGGCACGAAAGCGUGGGUAUCGAACAGGAUUAGAUACCCCAGUAGUC